Molecule: long non-coding RNA, 763 nt
Organism: Heteronotia binoei (common prickly gecko)
Lineage: Eukaryota; Metazoa; Chordata; Lepidosauria; Squamata; Gekkonidae
Exons: 5
Source: RefSeq, a predicted model, not a curated record
GCUUCAGUUCUCUUUAAUUAGUUCAGAGUUAAGUGACAAAGUAUUUAAUCAGCAAGCUAACAAGUGCAGCAGCAGAUUGCUCCAUGUGUGUGCAUGCAUGAGGGUGUGACAAAAAAGAUGCUGAGCUAACACCUGUCAAAUACACAGAAGGAAGCACAGUGUAAUAUCAAAAGAAUGCUCUUAUCUACAAAGAAAUGGCAAAUAGCAACCAAAGACUUCUGGAUACCACUGGUCAGAGAAGCAUAAUAAGGAAAGGAAAGGAACUCUCUUCUCCAGGGAGAUUCAUCCAUCCCCUGCUGCUGCUGCCUUUCACCCACAGAGGGCAUCCAUGUGACCACCUGGUAAAACCCUAUUACUAGCUGUUGAUAGAUUUCCCAAAGUUGGCAUCAACAAGCUAGCAAACUGUGAAGCCAUUAACAGAGGAGUGUGACUUCACUGCAGGACCAAAGAGAAUGAACAGCUGGCCUCAGAUGGAGAAAGCUCUAAUUCAAACACAUAUAUCUUCAAUAAUAGCAGGGGAAAUACAGAAAAUUACUGUCAAAAUAAAUUGCAUUUUGUAUAAAUGCCAUCUCCUUUCACGUUUACCCCAGCAUGAUAAUCCUUCUUUAUUUAGUGGUAUUGCCCUUUUCUCUUUAGAGACCUUUGCUGAAGUCUUCUUUUAUAUUUUAUGUAUCAUUAAAAUGACUUAAAUGAGCAGAGGAUGUAGCUCUGCUGACAUUUAUUUUAAUUAUUUACAUAAAUAAAGAGGUUUUCUUAUUCCACA